UACGAACUGUGCAAACGUUAUUCGGAAUCACUGGGCUUAAAGGGUGCGUAGGCGGCUUGUUAAGUAGGGUGUGAAAUCCCCCGGCUCAACCGGGGAAUUGCGCCCUAAACUGGCGAGCUGGAGUGAGAUAGGGGUGUGUGGAACUUCCAGUGGAGCGGUGAAAUGUGUUGAUAUUGGAAGGAACGCCAGUGGCGAAAGCGGAUCA
RNAcentral lists this ribosomal RNA (205 nucleotides) under uncultured bacterium. RNAcentral describes it as "partial 16S ribosomal RNA". It matches the Rfam family "Bacterial small subunit ribosomal RNA", at positions 524 to 728 of the family's 1533-position model. The record is from RNAcentral.